CUACGGGCGGCAGCAGUGGGGAAUAUUGGACAAUGGGGGAAACCCUGAUCCAGCAAUGCCGCGUGUGUGAAGAAGGCUUGCGGGUUGUAAAGCACUUUCGGUUGGGAGGACUGCUUCUAGCACUAAUAUUGUUGGAAGUUGACGUUACCUUCAGAAGAAGCACCGGCUAACUCCGUGCCAGCAGCCGCGGUAAUACGGAGGGUGCAAGCUUUAAUCGGAAUUACUGGGCGUAAAGCGCGCGUAGGCGGCUAGAUCAGUCGGGUGUGAAAGCCCCGGGCUUAACCUGGGAACUGCAUCCGAUACUGUCUAGCUUGAGUACAGGAGAGGAGAGUGGAAUUCCACAUGUAGCGGUGACAUGCGUAGAUAUGUGGAGGAACACCAAUGGCGAAGGCAGCUCUCUGGCCUGAUACUGACGCUGAGGUGCGAAAGCGUGGGGAGCAAACAGGAUUAGAUACCCUUGUAGUC
This 465-nucleotide ribosomal RNA is filed under the name uncultured bacterium. RNAcentral's name for it is "partial 16S ribosomal RNA". It matches the Rfam family "Bacterial small subunit ribosomal RNA", at positions 339 to 795 of the family's 1533-position model. The record is from RNAcentral.